This 97-nucleotide signal recognition particle RNA is filed under the name Verrucomicrobiota bacterium. Its description in RNAcentral is "Verrucomicrobia bacterium signal recognition particle sRNA small type". It matches the Rfam family "Bacterial small signal recognition particle RNA". Rfam says of the family: The signal recognition particle (SRP) is a universally conserved ribonucleoprotein involved in the co-translational targeting of proteins to membranes. Archaeal SRP consists of a 7S RNA and homologues of the eukaryotic SRP19 and SRP54 proteins. The record is from RNAcentral. RNAcentral also lists the same sequence under 1 other name. Lineage: Bacteria; Pseudomonadati; Verrucomicrobiota.
UGUCAGGGCCCACGGAGUGCGGACUUACGAACCCCGCCAGGGCCGGAAGGCAGCAACGGUAGUUUGCUUCGUAUUUGCCGUGGUCACCCUGGCGUUU